Molecule: long non-coding RNA, 42816 nt
Filed under: Triticum aestivum (bread wheat)
Lineage: Eukaryota; Viridiplantae; Streptophyta; Magnoliopsida; Poales; Poaceae
Description: long non-coding RNA (TAES_LNC019017)
Source: RNAcentral
GAAGAUGAAGUUUGAGAAGUAUUGGAAAGAAGUCCAUGGUCUUAUGUCUGUGGCAACAGUCCUUGAUCCAAGAUAUAAGCUUCAUAUGUUGCAAGCUUUGUUUGGCUCUCUCUAUGGGUUUGAACAUGCAACUACAGAAGUGGAGAAAAUUAGAAAGUUAAUGGGUGAUUUGUUGCUAGAAUAUCAAGCAUCUGAUGGUGGUGUGGGUACCUCGGAGUCACAUGUAGGUGGGAGUGUUUCUACCCAAGGUGGUGCUGCAGUAGAUGAAAUGGAGAAUAUAUUUAAACAAUAUAUGUCCUCGAAGCCUGUUACGAGUGCUUCUCGUGUGCGUACAGAACUGGACUUAUAUUUGGAAGAGGAAAUUAUCCAUAGGCCAGAGGGUCUCGACAUCAUCAAUUGGUGGCAGUAUGCAGGUAUCAAGUAUCCUACAUUGCGAAGAAUGGCUCAUGAUAUACUAGCCAUUCCUGUAACAACUGUGGCGUCGGAAUCUGCCUUCAGUACUAGUGGGAGAAUACUAAGUGCACAUAGAUGUUCACUUGCACCAAACAUGACUGAAGCUCUUAUGUGUAUGCAAGCUUGGUCCCGUGCAGACAUGUUAGGUGAUAAUCUAUUUCAAUCAUGACUCUUCUUUCCAUACACAAUAUUAUUUCCUUGCUAUAUGUUAAUAUCUAAAUCUAUGCAUCAGGGAUUGCAAUUCUACUCUCUUUGCGGACUUUGAAACUGUUCUUAAGGAUGACACGGAAAUGAUGGUAAUAGAUUCUACUUUUAGCAACUUAGCAUGCCUUUUAAUCUUAUAGAUUUUAAUGCAAAUCUUGUUGUUUACUUUGAAUGCUUCUAUUUUCUUGUGUUUCAGGAGGUUGAUGAUCAAUCCAUCCUAACUGAAGCCUGAAACAUGAUUGUAUGAUGUUGCUGCUGCUGCUUGGUUGCGACGAGAAGGCGGACGACCCGGCGUGCUACACUGCUACCUGUUGUUAUUUACAUUUAUCCAUGGCUGCUACACUACUACUUCCUACUGCUAGCUUGUAUUUGUAUUUCUGCUGCUAUUUGUGCACCUGAACCUUGUAUCUCUGCUCCUGAACCUUGUAUUUGUGCUUCUGAAGACCUGCACCAUGUAUUUGUGAUGCUAUUUGUGCUCUUGAACCUUGUAUUUGCCUUCCUGAUAUUGUGUUUUCUAGCUGUUCUACUAUGUAUUCACAUUGAUGGUUAGUAACUGAAGCUAUUUGUGCAUUUUUGUCACUGUGUGAACCAAUAUUCGUUAUAUGAAUUUUGCCACUACUCUGUUGUACACUGUACAAGAACAAUAUACAGCAGCCCGAUGGGUAACCCAUCGGGUCGGGUUACCCAUUGGGUUCGGGCGUGGGUCUGAUCCUUCGCCCAUGGGCAGGGUCGUGGGCGACUGGGUAGACCCAUUUAGUAAUCGGGCAUGGGUUUGGUAGACCUCGACCCGGGCAAACCCGACCCGACUGCCAGGUUGACUCUGGGGUACAGUUUUAUGUGAGAUACAUCAGAGGGGAGACGGGAGAUACACACGCACGCUUAACACAACAAACUCCGGUGCCUGAUCGUAUCUUUAGGUUACUGAUGUGAGAUACAUGCGGCAUGUUUGCAUGCAUGGCCGCUUGACCAGAAUGGCCGCCCGUGAGACUUGCUCAUAUGAGAAAUGACCAUACGGAUUAGCUUGAGAUCGCAAGAACAAAGUUUUGAAGCAUUCUAUUACCUCCCAGCCAUACAGAGUACUAUCCAUGCAAGGACGCAGGUUGUACGUUGGCUUCUGGGUGAAUUCAAGAAAAACAGUGAUGGGCUGGGUUAGCUUGAACCCAUGAUGACGAUGGCGCCGACAGCACACGAUCAACACUUCAGCUUGUAGGAUUGAACGACCAGAUCGAGACUCAUGUCGGCAAGACGGCCGUGUUGGCUACGACUCUCGGAGGAAGUGAAGUUGGGUGUGGAGAAGGGGGCAGCCGGAAGAAUAGUAGAGCUAUGAACGGGCUCUUGAUUUCAAAGUGCUUUAUAGAUCAAAGGGGAGAGGUCCAAAGGUCAGCUUAGUGGAGCGGCGCCUGUUCGAUUGCCUAGAUCAUAACUUAAUGGAGGAAGAGGUGCAUGUAGGUAGCUGGUCAUUUACCUCGGCAGCCCGAUGGUCGCCUCCCUCGCCUUUUUCUUGUGUGCAUUCACUGCACCUAGUGCCGAGAGAAGAGGAAGGGACAAACCUGCAUGCUGGAGGUUGCCCCGCUGCCUGUAAGUAGCCGACUGGUCGUCUGCCUCGCCGGUUUUGUCUACAUGCACCUAGUGCCGCGAGAGACGAAAGGACAAAUCUGCAUGUAAAUGAUUGAUUUGGGGGAAGUAGUACGAAGCUACAUGGCAGUAGCUGCAGCGCUGAUGAGGGAUAGUGCAAAUUGUAAGACACUCCAUAGAAAACAUUGACAAUUAAUAACGGAUGAUGUGGCUUUAGCAUACGUCAGAAAAUUUAGUAGUGGGAGCUGAUGUGGCAAGAAGGAUGAUGUGGAUAGCUUGCAUGUUUANNNNNNNNNNNNNNNNNNNNNNNNNNNNNNNNNNNNNNNNNNNNNNNNNNNNNNNNNNNNNNNNNNNNNNNNNNNNNNNNNNNNNNNNNNNNNNNNNNNNCACCCAUGGAAAUGGCAUGGUAAGAUUUUCUAUUAUUAUGACACCAUUGCAUCUUUUGCAUACAUUGUUCUAAAGCUAAACUACAUUCCUAACUACGUUACUAUUAUGCUCUUCAACGGAAAAUCCCGAAGGAUUGUGUGCCUCAUCUGAUGCAUAGGAAAGGUCACAUGGAUGUAGUUAGCUUACGACCAAGUCCGCCUAUGGGUCACCGCUGUUCAUACAAGAUUUCUUGAACAAAUGAAGACCUCACAAUCAAAGAAUGGAAAAAAGAUAUGCAUGAUCGUAGGGAGGUACUUGGAAGCAACAUUGUGCGAAGCCCAUGAAUUGGAGACAGGAUAAUCUCCAUUCUCCAUAAUGGAGAGUCAGGGGCUAUGUUGUUUUAUGCUAUUUUACUUUAGAGAGGGUAGCAGGUCCUAGCUAAUACUCAUGAUCAUGUGCUAAGAACAAUUAACUAGGGUUGGUUAUGACUAUGAUGAUGAUGAGUAUGACUUGUUAUUAUGAUAACGAGUAGAAGUUGUUAGAUGACUAUGAUGAUGAUGAGUAUGACUUGUUAUUAUGAUAACGAGUAGAAGUUGUUAGAUGACUAUGAUGAUGAUGAGUAUGACUUGUUAUUAUGAUAACAAGUAGAAGUUGUUAAAUGACUAUGAUGAUGAUGAGUAGUAUGACCUUUUAUUAUGAUAAUGAUGAUGAGUUAUAUAUUAUAAUGAUGAUGAUGAUGAUGCUGAGUUGUUAUAUGAGCAUGAUGAGUUAUUAUAUAUCAGUCGGUGAAAUAAACGUGGAUUACAUUCAAGUGGAGGCAACAUGGUGCAGACCGAAAGUAUUACUAAUCCAAACUAAACUGAUCAAGUUUGGAUUAGUAGUAAUUUCGAUCUGCACUAUGUUGCCUCCACUUGAAUCUAAUCCACAUCUAUUUCACCCACUGAUAUAAUAACUCAUCAUGAUCAUAAAAUCAUAUGAUGAGACAACUUUAUAAAACAUGUACAAAUACAAUGCCAAUAUGCAUAAAAAAUCCGCGUUGCUGCUAUUAGCAGCAGCAUGCUCUAAGAAGCCACGAUGCUGCUAUUAGCAGCAACGAGUGUUAGUAGGCACGCUACUGCUAUAUAUGGUUAGCAGUAGCGCCGGUCAACCCUGGCUACUGCUAAGAUUUAGCCGGAGUGUCCUAGUUGUAGCGCGGCCACCCGCGCUACUACUAGCACUAUUUCCACCGCUACUACUAGGGUUUUCCCUAGUAGUGAUGCAUCUAGUGUAUUAAGUUAACAAAAACGGAGUAAGGCCUUAAGCAAGAUGACAGGAUGUAGAGGGAUAGAUCCAAUCAAUAUGGUAAAAAUCCCAUCUUUUUAUCCUUAAUGGCAACAAUACUAAUACGUGCCUCGUUACCCCUACUGUCACUGAGUGAGGACACAGGAAGACUGAACCCAUCACAAAGCACCUCUCCCAUUGCAAGAAAAACCAAUCUAGUUGGCCAAACCAAAUCGAUAGAUCGGAGAGAAAUACAAAGCUAUCUUAAUCAUGCAUAAAGAGUUAAGAGAAGACUCAAAUAAUAUUCAUAGAUAAUCUGAUAAUAAACCAACAAUUCAUCGGAUCUCAACAAACGCACCACAAAAGAAGAUUAGAUCGAAUAGAUCUCCAAGAACAUCGAUGAGAACAUUGUAUUGAAGAUCAAAGAGAGAAAAUAAGCCAUCUAGCUACUAGCUAUGGACCCGUAGGUCUGUGGUAAACUACUCACACAUCAUCGGAAGGGCAAUAAAGUUCGUGUAGAGGCCCUCCGUGAUCGAAUCCACCUCCGGCAGAGUGCCGGAAAAGGCCCCAAGGUGGAAUCUCACGAGAACAAAAGCUUGCGGCAGUGAAAAAGUAUUUUGGGUGUGCCCCUGGUGUACGGGGAAUAUUUGGGUAUUUAUAGAGCUAAGAUUAGGGUCAGGGGAGUCCCGAGGGGCCCACAAGCCUGGGGGGCGUGCCCCCCUGGGGUGCGCCCUGUGGGCUUGUGGACCUCUCGUGGCUCCUCUAGCCUCGUCCCGAAGGUUCAUGGUUGUCUUCUGGUCCAAGAAAAAUACUCAAAAAGUUUCGUUCCGUUUCGACUGUGUUUGGUAUUGAUUUUCUGUAAAAGACAAAAACAAGGAAAAAACAGCAACUGGCACUAGGCACUUGGUUAAUAGGUUAGUCCCAAAAAAUGAUAUAAAAUAUCAUAUUAAUGCAAAUAAAACAUCAAGAUGUAUAAUAUAAUAACAUGGAACAAUCAAAAAUUAUAUAUACGUUGGAGACGUAUCAUACUUCGAAGCACAAAUGUGGUAAAGGAUAUUAGCAUUACCCGUUGUCUCUUUUUUCUCUCAAUUGUGUUCUCUGUUCUUCUUAUUUUUACAACAAUAUCAUGAACCUCAUCCCUACUUUCCGAGGACUCAUCAGUCUCCAUGAUUCUUUUCCUCAUUGGGACAACGCUCUAAUAAUGAUGAUCAUCACACUUCUUUUUUACUUAGAACUUGAUAAACAGGAUGAUAUGACUAUAUCAGAAUGCCUUUGGCUGUGUACCAGGAUGUGCAAUGAUCUAGCGUAAAAUGUAUAACAUUGACGAACAGUGGCUUUGCCAGAAAUUGCAUGUUAGCUCUAUAUAAUCAUGCAAAGCAAAAUGACAAUGAAUGCUCAAGUCAUGUGAACAAUAACGGUGGAAGUUGCAUGGCAAUAUAUCUCGGAAUGGCUAUGUAAAUGCCAUGAAAGAUACACAUGGUGGAUAUUUUGAGGAAGGAUAUAAUAAUGUUUAUGUGUGAUGUAGCAUGUCAUAUCACGGGAUUUGGUUGCUCCGCCAAAAUUUGCACCAAGUCUCGAGGUGAGAACGGGCAAUGCACUAUACUGAAGAGGCUAGCAAAAUAUGGAAGGGUGGAAGUGCUUAUAGUCCACAAACUCACAUUAGUCAUAAAGAAAUCAAAUACUUAACGUGAAGUCUAUUAGCCCUCGAAGCAAAGUACUACCUGCAUGCCCCUAGGGAGGAGGUUGGGAGGAGUUAACCAUCAUGCACCCCCGAUGAGCCACCAAUGUCUGUGCUAAAACCGGCAGAUCUCGGGUAGGGGGUCCCAAGCUGGUGGUAUCAGCUAAAUGGUUACAGGAAGUAAAGAAAGACAUGAUGCUUACCUAGGUUUGGNNNNNNNNNNNNNNNNNNNNNNNNNNNNNNNNNNNNNNNNNNNNNNNNNNNNNNNNNNNNNNNNNNNNNNNNNNNNNNNNNNNNNNNNNNNNNNNNNNNNCCCUGCCCAACUAGCGCAGUCCCCGGGCCGAGUUCUGGAGUCUUCGGGCUGACCGUCGCAGUCCCCGGGCUGGGUUCUGAAGUCCCCGAGCCGGCUUCGACUGCGGUGUUUUUGAAGCCAUCUGUAAGAAUUCUUGUGCCGUCUGCUGAUGCUCUUGAGUCGGAUCCAACUUCUUCAGGGGGAGCUGGCACAAAAAUGGAGUCUGAUUCUGGCGAAGGCUUGAUAGACGGCUUGAGGAGGCGCUGAAGGGCGACGCCGGACGGUAUUGCUUGACGGGUGGAGCCGACUCGUGCCAGGGCGUCCGCUUGGUCGUUGUCGUUUCUUGGCACGUGAAGGAAUUCACACCCCUCAAAAUAUUCGCUGAGUUGCUGCACCAGGAAGCGGUAGCUUGCCAUGUUUGCAUCUUUGGCGUCCCAGUCGCCAGACGACUGCUGGACCACCAAAUCGGGAUCGCCGUAGCACAGGAUCCGGCGGAUGCCGAGCUCUUUGGCAAGCCGGAGCCCGUGAACGAGCACCUCGUAUUCGGCAACGUUGUUGGAGGCGGCGAAGUGGAUCUGAAGUGCGUACUUGAGCUUGUCGCCCUUGAGGGAGGUGAGGACGACACCGGCUCCCAAGCCGGUGCGCAUCUUGGAGCCAUCGAAAUGCAUCCGCCAAUGGGUGGAGUCGGGUGCUGGCGGCAGGUACUGGGUCUCGGCCCAGUCGACAAGGAAGUCGGCCAGUGCUUGUGACUUGAUGGCGGUGCGGGGCUGGUAGUAGAUGGUGUAGGGAGCCAGAUCUAUGGCCCACUUGGCUACUCGGCCCGAAGCAUCACGGCUUCCGAUGAUCUCGGACAGUGCAGCGGUGCAAACCACAGUGAUUGGAUGCUCUUGAAAGUAAGGCUUCAACUUCUUGGCGGCGAAAUGCACGCCAUAGCACAUCUUCUGGUAAUGGGGGUAGUUCUGCUUGGAGGUCGACAGUACCUCGCUCAGGUAAUAUACCGGUCUCUGGACAGGGAGCGCUUUGCCUUCCUCCUUGCGUUUGACUACGAUAACUGUGCUGACUACCCGGCUGGUGGCGGCAAUGUAAAGGAGCAUAGGCUCUUUAGGAGUCGGAGCCGCCAGCACAGGGGGAGUAGUCAACAUCUUUUUCAACUCAAGAAAUGCUUCGUCCGCCUUGUGGUUCCACUCAAAAAAAGGCGGUCUUACUCAUCAUUUGGUACAAAGGGAGAGCCUUCUCGCCCAGCCGACUGAUGAAUCGACUGAUGGACGCCGAGCAGACGGUGAACUUCUGCACAUCUAACAGUCAGCGGGGGACUUCCAUCCUCUCGAUGGCUUUGAUCUUUACAGGGUUGCACUCUAUGCCGCGUUCAGAGACUAGGAAGCCAAGGAGCUGGCCGGCUGGUACUCCGAAGACACACUUCUCUGGAUUGAGCUUGAUCUGGAAUAGGCGCAGAUUCUCAAAGGUUUCUUGGAGAUCUUCCAACAGUGUCCCACGCUUUUCCGUUUUCACCACCACAUCAUCCACGUAGACGUGGGCAUUUCUGCCGAGUUGCUUGAGGAGACACUUCUGCAUGCAACCCUGAAAGGUGGCGCCGGCAUUCCACAAGACGAACGUCAUAGUCAGGUAGCAGAAGGCUCCAAACGGCGUGAUGAAGGCAGUCUUCAGUCUGUCUGCCGGGUUCAGCUUGAUCUGGUGAUAUCCUGAAUAUGCAUCUAAGAAGCUCAACAGCUCACAUCCGGCUGUGGAGUCUAUCACCUGAUCAACUCUUGGCAGAGCAAAUGGGUCUUUGGGGCAAGCUUUGUUGAGGCUUGUGUAGUCGAUACACAUCCGCCACUGCUUGUUCUUCUUCAACACUAGGACCGGGUUCGCCAGCCAUUCUGGAAAGAACACCUCCAUAAUGAAGUCGACCGCUAGGAGUCGGGCUAUCUCUUCUCCAACAACUCUUCUCUUCUCUUCUGACAGGCGGCGCAAGGGCUGCCUAACGGGCUUCACAUCAGAUCGGACAUGUAACUUGUGCUCGGCGAAUUCCGUCGGUACACCUGGCAUGUCUUUAGGGGACCAUGCGAAGAUGUCUCGAUUCUCACGAAGGAAAUCGAUGAGCUCGCCUUCCUAUUUGCUGUCUAGGUUUGCGCCUAUGAUAGCGUGCCUCUCCGGGUGCUCCGGGUCCAAAGGUAUCCUCUUUGUCUCUUUAGCCGGCUUGAACGAACCCUCAGCUUCUGACUCCUUGGGGUCGGGCGACAUCUCUGGCUGCUUGCCGGCCAUCGCCACAACCCGAUCAAGGAGCCGCCUCUUAGCUGCGAUCACCAGGGACUCGGCCAGCUGACUACUCUCGGCCGCGCAGGCGGACGACUUCCUGUAGUCGCCGGCCACGGUCAGAAUCCCCUUUGAACUUGGCAUCUUCAUCUUGAGGUAAGCGUAGUGGGGGACUGCCAUGAACUUGGCCAAAGCAGGUCGGCCAAGCAAUGCUUGGUAUGGGCUUUCGAGGUCCACAACUUCAAACCAAACUGGCUCUCGGCAAAAAUAAUCUUUGUCUCCGAAGAGGACAUCUAUCUGGAUCUUGCCGAUUGGGGAGCAAGAAAGGCCAGGCACAAUGCCGUGGAAAACAGUUCGGCUGCUUUGAAGCUGUCUCUGCUUGAUUCCUAAUUUCUCCAUGGUAUCCUUGCAUAGGAUGUUGAUGCUACUGCCUCCGUCUAUAAACACUCGCGAGAAGCGAGCGGCCCGCCUAUCAGUGGCCAAGGUAGCACUCAGAACCAAGGUGUAGGAGCCCGGAUUCGGCAUCACCUCUAGGUGAUCAGCUCUGCUCCAACUGAUAGGCUUCUCAGACCAAUGCAUAAACUCCAGAGUAUCUGAUGCUACUGCAUUUAAUUCUUGCUGCUGCAACCGUCUGCUGCGUCGAUCAUCAGCCAUACUGGUGAACACUACAUAAGCUCCGUGCUCUUUUGGGUAUUCAUCUUGUACGGUGCCGACUGGCCUGGCAGCCGGGUGCUGGGGCGGUAGUGGAGGCAGCGGCCCAGCAGACGGAGGAGGAAGGAGGCCGUCUCCUUUGGCGAUUCUGGUGAGCCAGUGGCAUUUUCGGGUGGUAUGGUUUGACGGCUUCGCGCCGCUGUGGAACUUGCAGGGACCAUCUAGAGUCCGCUCGUAAGAGAAGGCCNNNNNNNNNNNNNNNNNNNNNNNNNNNNNNNNNNNNNNNNNNNNNNNNNNNNNNNNNNNNNNNNNNNNNNNNNNNNNNNNNNNNNNNNNNNNNNNNNNNNGAAGAGUGACUUGGGGCCUUGGUCCUUUGCGAAGCCUGCGUAACGCUGGCGACGCCUGUGGAGAUGGAGUUGGCUGGGCCUCAAAGUCAUCGUCAUCUUGCACUGGUGGGGUGACUUGUUGUUGGGGAGUACUCAGGGUGUCUUGUUGUUGUGGGUGAUCAGCUCAUGAUGCAUCCUGAGCAAUUGGCGUCAGAGGACAACCAAUGCUGAUAAGCUCACUGUUCGUUAGAACAGGCGAUGAUACCGUUGGGUGCUCAAUCUGAAGAAGAACUACAUCAUCUUCAACAUUGUCAUGGUGACCAAUGUCUUCAGCUACGGUGGGGUCAACAGCUGGAAUAUCUUCAACUUCAGGAACCUCUGUGGAAGCAGGCUCAUGAACUAUCAUGCGUCGUUCUUGGUGAGAAGAGUCAGGACGAGCAACCGAGAUUGGCUCGACAACAAGGGGCUCUGUGGGAGCAGCCCGAUCUUUCUUGGUUUUGCGCUUCUUCUUGGAGGGUGCAUCAUCAGAGGCUUCAGGAUUUUUCCUUUUUCUGGCUUCAGCCUCGGCAGCCCUCGUCUUCUUCAGUUCUGAAGCGGUUGACUUGACCUUUGGCUUCGAGCCGGACAUGCUGCUUGGGAAGACAAUGCGAGGCUCUUCCCGCCUUGAAUGUUUAGAUUGGUCAACCGAUGGCUUCUUCUUCUUGGCAGCCAUCCUGGGGUCGAUGCCAGGACGCCCAAGAGCCUUGCGCUUUUCAGCUUCAUUGUAGGCUUGCACACAUUUGGCAGUUGAAAGCUUCAUGCGCUCACGAGAUCCUUGGGCUUCAUCACGUUUCGUGCGAAAGGCUUCCCUGAGCUCAUGUAGCAUGAUCUUGAAGUUCUGCACAUCCUUCACACUGAGCUUGUCCAUAUGCUUCUUGAACUGAGCUUUUUCAAAAUCUAUCUUGUGCUUCAGCUCAACACUUUUCUGAGCAAGAGCUAACUCAGAAGCAAUUGCGCCUUGGAAGGAGACGCUGAGGCCAAUUGGAAGUUGUAGAUCGUCAAAACUGAGUUCUUGAUUUUCAAACCAGUCAUCAAUGAACUUGUUCAGAAUCUCAACAUCGAAGAGGGGAAGAUCAUUGAAGAUUUCAGCCUGCUGCUUGCUCUUAAUCAGCAUCUCAAGAGCGUCAUUGGUAAGAUCGUCGUCACUUGACAGAUCAAUUGCUUCAUUUUCGUUUCGUAAAAUGGCAGCAGGAGUCAGAGCAAGACUGGAGGAGUGCAUGGGCUUCUUCUUUUUCUUCGUCUCGAUCUUGGAGACACGAGAGAGAUCUUCAGACUGCACACUUGGUGCAGGUGGUGCAGUGGCCAGAGGCUUCACAAGUGAAGCUUUUGGAGCAGCAGCUGAUUUUGAAGCUUUAGCCUUCUUUUGCUUCUGUGGCUUUCGAGUAGGAGCAGGGGCUUCAUCAGUGUCGGCAUCAUCAUCAGAAUGAUCCACUUUGGCACCUUGAACGGAAAUGUGAGUGAUGAGGCCAUCAAGGUUGUAGAAGGGUCCGAUGAUAUUGGGUUCAGCAUCGCGUGUGCCGUCAGCCCGGGGAGCAGAAGGACCAGGGUUGAAGUCUAGCCCCAAUGACUUCUUAUUUUCCUUGGCCGAUGCCUUUGCGUGCUGGAAGUUGCGCUUGAAGAGUUUAUCGUCACGACACCAGAGCAGUGAUGAUUGGUCGGCAUUGUCAGGCUGUGGUCCAUGGACCAUACAUGGAUAGAAACCCUGGGCAAUAGCUUCAGCUCUGUUCUUGGGUGGAAGGAUUCGAAAGAGAAUAUCACCCCAAGGACUCUUGAUGGCAUUCUUCUCAGCAUACUCCUGGGUCACGAACUUGUAUUUAAACCAUUGUUCGGCCCAAUAUCUUCGAAUCCAUUGGAUUCGUGUCUUGCGCUGAUUGUAAUCCUCUUCUAGAUCUGUCUUGUACAACUCUGAGAGGUCAUCAGGCAAAUCUCUUGAUGUUCCCCCACGACGCUGUCUGCCACCCUUCCUUGCUGAUUUCUCUGUAGCCAUGAAGUUUAGACUAAAAGGCUUCAACACUGUCAAAGGCUUCAAAGGCUUCCGCUUGCUGGUCAGAUAGGAACUGGCUUCAGGAGAGUUAAUGUGAUGCUGUAAGAAUUUUGCAAACGAAUGCAGACUAUGAGAACCAAGGGAUUCUCCCAUGGACAUGUACCUGUGACAGCAUUAGAGACGCGAGGGAAGGGGAGAGGUCAUAUGCAUUCUUAGAAGAUUUUGAAGAUAAAUCAGUUUGAAGACAUUGACCUCAUGAUGCGAAGACAUUCACUUAUGUGUUUGAAUUUGGUUCCAGAUGUGUACGAAUCCAGGAAUAGGUACAAGUGAGGAAUCUAACUAGUUUAGAUGCAUAAGUGAAGAUGCUUGGCACAGUAUGAGAUGUAGAACUAGACAGAUCCAAGUUUGAAGUCACAGAAACCACUUUUGGUAAAAAGGAUGAAUCUAUAGGAUCAAAAAGAUGGUAAAAAGAGGGUUUUAUUUACCACACGAAGAACUGCUAGAUGGGAAGAGUAGGAGACCGAGCAGUUCAAUCCACCGUGCCCUAACUUGGCGACAGAGGACACCUAUGGCGGCGGCGGAGAGGACGAUGCCCGCGGCUGGCGUGAGGACGGCGUCGGUGAGGUCGCGGCAGCUAAGCGCUUCGUCGUCGGCGUCGUCGAAAGCUAGCGAUGGCGCUAGGGUUUUGACGAGGUGGAGAGGUGGAAGAAGGUUUUCUUGACCGUAAGGGGACAUGUAUUUAUAAGGAAGGAUGCGGCACAACGCAAUUACGCAGGUGCCCCUAGCGAUUCACAUCUGAGGAACACGUGGCUAGCAUGCAACAUACUUGGAGUUGUCCCACGUUCCCACGCCCGCCUGAACUGUCGGAUGGUCGUUCCGGCUUCUCCGGAUUUUAGGCAAUAAGGAUAGAGCAUUUAAAACAGACUCUGUAUCUUCUGCUGACAAGGACGCAGAGAAGACAUUUGACAGUUUCAACAGAAUGCAUAUGAUUUGGACAGAUAGAGUUUGAGAUAGAAAGCAUAGAUAAAUUAGGGUCCAAUCACAUUCACUUAGUUCAAAAGAUUCAACAGAAAAGACAUAGCUACAAGUGAAUGCUGUAGAGGACAGAAUACUUAUAUAUAUAUAUAUNNNNNNNNNNNNNNNNNNNNNNNNNNNNNNNNNNNNNNNNNNNNNNNNNNNNNNNNNNNNNNNNNNNNNNNNNNNNNNNNNNNNNNNNNNNNNNNNNNNNAAAGAUCUCCUUGAAGAAAACUGUGAAAUUCAUCAAGGAGAUAGGUGAUGCGCGCAUCGCGGUUGCUACGGAAGAGCGAGCGGAGCGAGCGCCAUAUGGUGUACGCUGAGUUCUUGCGCUCCUGGACGAUCUCCAAGGUUGAGGGCGUCACGGUGGCGUUAUACCACGAGAGGACGGCGAAGUCGUUGAGCGCCCAGUCGGAUGUAGCCUGCGCCGGCGAGCCGUCGACAUGAUCGGUGAGGCCGAACUUGGCGAGGGCGGAGAGAAACUGACGGCGCCAGAGGCCGUAGUUUUCUUUCUCGUAGUCGAGGGUGAUGAGAACGUGGUCCCGGAUGCGAAGGCUUUGGACCUGAAGAGUGGGCAGGGUUUGGGUGGCAACCGGGAGAUCAAACGGCUCGUCGGAGGAGGAGUCGCCGGUGGAAGAGUUGGAGGAGGAGGAGCUCAUGGCGUGGGAAGGGUGGGGCAGCGGAAGAAACGGAUCUCAAUUAAACUGAUACCAUGUUGGAGCCAGAGCGAGAUAUAGAGAGAGAGGGCGUGCAACAGCUCUUGUAUUCAUCAUCUGGUGUUACACUGGUUUAUAUAUGUACAGCUCAACUGACUCAACCGAUGCUAGGCUAAAAACUAGGCAUGCACAGAGGACACGAACACACGUUCGCUAACAGAAUGCACCGUGGUGUCACCGGCCCUCGACGACGGUGAGGGUGAUUUCAUUGACGGUGCAGCUCAAGGAGCAGUCGCCGUCGGUGGAGGUUGAUCCCCGGUCGCUGCAGUAGCCCGGGUGCCUAGGCUGUGGCAUCAACGCGCUCAGGUUGGCCAGCAUCAGAAACACCGUGGCCAUGUGCGGCCGGUCCUCCGGCCGUUCCUGCACGCACAGCAGCCCGACCUGCACGCACCGCAGCACCUCCUCCGACUCCCGGUCGCCGCCGCUGGCCACCGCCUCGUCUAGCAGCCCCAGCGCGUUGCCCUCCCUCCACAGCUUCCAUGCCUGCCCAGCCAUGCACACAUCACACUCACGUUACCACCAUCUCUUUCUCAUCAACAGAGCGACCGAUUAGUUCUGGAUGACUCACGUGGCUGAGCAGGCUCGUCUGCUCGCCGCUGCUGUACAUUCCCCGGUUCUUCCUGCCGCUGACGAUCUCGAGCACCAGCACGCCGAAGCUGAACACGUCGGACUUCACCGAGAAGACGCCGUCCAUGGCGUACUCGGGGGACAUGUACCCGCUGCAUGCAUGCACACGAGCGCGUCGGUCAGCUCGCCGUUGCAUCGAAAACAUAAAACCGACGGCGCCGAAUGCGACGGCCUUCACUUACUAUGUCCCGACGACCCUUCGGGUGUGUGAGUCGGCGCCGUCGCCACCGAAGAUCCUGGCGACGCCGAAGUCGGAGAUCUUGGGGUUCAUGUCGCCGUCGAGGAGGAUGUUGCCGGCCUUGAGGUCCCGGUGGAUGACCUUGAACCUCGAGUCCUGGUGCAGGUACAGGAGCCCCCGUGCGACGCCCAGUACGAUGUCAAACCGCUUCGGCCAGUCCAGUUGCGCCGAUCGAGCCUUAUCUGCUUAAACACAUCAUUUCAUGAUUUUCAUCUGUAAAUUCACGGCAACAACUUAAAUCCACAACGUGUGUAGAUGGACAGGUUUGACGUACCGAAGAGGAGCAUGUCCAGGCUCUUGUUCUCCAUGUACUCGUACACCAGGAUCCUCUCCUCUCCAUGGACGCAGCAGCCCAAGAGCCUGACGAGGUUCACGUGCUGGAGCUUGGCGAUGAGCACCACCUCGUUCUUGAACUCGUCCAGGCCCUGCGUCGAGUACUUGGACAGCCGUUUCACCGCCACCUUCUGCCCUCCCCCAAGCUCACCCUGCAUCGAUCCAACCAUUUGUUUUGCAGCAGUUGUUAUCACUUUCUUGCCUCAGAUCGAUCAAUCGAUCGAUGCCGCGAAAUGUUGCAAUGUUUACCUUGUAGACGGCGCCGAAACCGCCUUCGCCGAGCUUGGCCGCCGCCGCGAAGUUGUCGGUGGAGGAGGCAAUCGUGGCCAUGUCAAAGAGAGUGACAUCAUGCAGUCCUUUGCUCUGACUCGAGUCCUCUUCCAUGCUCCUGUCUUGGACUGGAGCAAGAGGGUUGCUCGAGUCGAAUGAGGUGAGCGGUCGUGUGCUCUGGGACCUCCCUGCAGGUUUGCAGAAAGUAAAAUUUACCUUCCUUGUGUAUAAAAAUACUCGUAGAAAAUACUAGUUUAGAUUUAGGCGCACCUUUGUUUCUGAAGAACUUAGUCCACAGAAAGAAUACGCCGAUGCCGAGAAGAAGAAGACCGGAUAAGCUGAGGACAACAGCAAGUGCUGUGUUUCUCCUGCUGGGAUUGUCUCCAUUGGAAGCUGUCAAGGUCACCGUGGAAAGGUUAGCAAGUCACUAAGUCCCUGUUUGGAUUCUCGUUUUCCAUCUGAAUACCCUUGUAAAAUAUACAGGUCUCCGCCGGUCGUUUUGGUUUCGAGCUGAAAAUAGCUCUAGACCGGUAAGUUACACCCGGAAGUUAAAUACACCUGUAUCGAAUUACAACCAUACCAAGCGCGGCCUAAGUGGUAUUCUGCAUUUCAGUUUUCUGGAUUGAAUUUGUGCAUCAACGACUAAGGACUGAAUGAUGUUGCUCUGAAAGCAAGAAACCCCCCUCAAGUUCUCUGUCUCGGUAUUGACCAAUGAUCAUGACUGACUGGAAACAGUAUUUUGACAACCGAGGAUUUGCAGUAUGUUACUCUGCUCGGAUGUAAAAUUUGAACUAUAUUUAUCCAUACAAAACUUGUAGGUAUUGCUCUAACUUUUGAUUUAUGUUUGUGGUAUUUCUCUUAUAUUGUCCUAACCUGAGAAGCAAUAAAAAUGGAGGGGCAAGGGGAUCCAUCCUAAUUACUCGCCACUUUGUCAGUGAAAGCAACAACUGAACACCAUUGUUUCAUGGGAAGGAGCACUUGUCACCUCAGUUUCAGUCUAAAGAAGCAUUGCAGUCCUGCUGAUUAGGGCACCUCCAGCCGCGCCCCCAAGAAGACCUCCCCAGGCGAUUUUUUCGCGGCGGCGCCGAAAAAACGGCCCAGUCGCGCCCCAGAAACCCGAUUUUCGCUGGCUUGGACCGAAAACAGCGCCGGCGGACCCANNNNNNNNNNNNNNNNNNNNNNNNNNNNNNNNNNNNNNNNNNNNNNNNNNNNNNNNNNNNNNNNNNNNNNNNNNNNNNNNNNNNNNNNNNNNNNNNNNNNGAGUGGUACCGGCAUUGGCGGAGUUUUAUUGCAAGAAAAAUGAUCCAUUGCAUAUUUUAGUGAAAAACUCUCCGGCGCUCAACUUAACUAUCCCACAUAUGACAAAGAAUUGUAUGCUUUAGUACGUGUACUACAUGUUUGGGAACAUUAUCUUAGACCUCAUGAGUUUGUCAUCCAUACCGAUCAUGAAACGCUUAAGUACUUAAAAGGCCAAACUAAGUUGAACAAGCGACAUGCCAAAUGGAGUGAAUUUAUUGAAUCUUUCCCAUAUGUGAUCAAGUACAUUAAGGGUAAGGAAAAUGUAGUUUCCGAUGCACUUUCACGCAUAUGCACGCUUGUCACUAAACUUGAGUUGAAUGUUAUCGGCUUUGAGCACAUAAAAGACUUGUAUGCUAAUGAUCCAUCUUUUGCACCUAUUAUGCUAAAUGUUUGACGCAUACAUCUUGGGAACAAUAUUACAUCAAGGAUGGUUAUCUUAUGAGAGCUAACAAACUAUGCAUUCUCGAGUCUUCUCUUCGUUUGCUACUUUUGCAGGAGGCUCAUGAAGGUGGACUCAUGGGACACUUUGGACGUGACAAGACUUUCGCCACGCUCUCCAAGAACUACUUUUGGCCCAAGAUGUUACGCGACGUCUCACGCUUCACCACCUGAUGCUCUACAUGUCGCAAAGCUAAGUGUAAAGCUCAAUCUCAUGGUCUUUACAUGCCUCUCCCGAUUCCUUAUCAACCAUGGGAAGACAUUAGUAUGGAUUUUGUACUUGGUUUGCCUAGAACUCAAAAUGGAAAGGAUUCCGUGUUUGUCGUUGUGGACCGAUUUUCUAAGAUGGCACAUUUCAUUCCUUGCAACAAGAUAGACGAUGCUUCACAUAUUGCAAAUCUCUUUUGUAGGGAAAUCUUGCGCCUCCAUGGAGUACCAAAGACAAUUGUCUCCGACCGCGACGUCAAGUUCUUGAGCUACUUUCGGAAGACUCUAUGCGCCAAGCUCGGAAUCAAGCUCUUGUUCUCAUCCGCAUACCAUCCUCAAACCAACGGCCAAACGGAGGUGACGAACCAGACACUAUCCACUCUACUUUGCGUGUUGAUCAAGAGGAACAUCAAGGAGUGGGAGGCGUGUCUACCCAUUGCCGAGUACGCCUACAACCGUGCAAGACUUUCGACUACCGGCAAGUCCCCCUUCGAGGUCGUCUACGGCUUCAACCCGUUGUCCCCAUUGGACAUUCUACCUCUCCCUCUACAAGAGCGCACCAACAUGGAUGCGAGUGCACGAACAAGCUACAUCAAGAAGAUGCAUGAAUAUACAAGACACACCAUCGAGCGCCAAGUACAACGACUAGCGUCCAAGCUCAACAUCAACAAGCAACAAAUUAUAUUCAACAUUGGAGACCUAGUGUGGCUACACCUUCGCAAGGACCGCUUCCCCAACGAACGCAAGUCCAAGCUUCUCCCUCGAGCCGAUGGACCCUUCAAGGUGCUCGCACGCUACAACAACAACGCUUACAAGAUCGACCUCCCACGCGACAAGUACAAUGUGAGCGACAUCUUCAACGUCUCCGAUCUCUCCCCGUACCAUGGUGAUGAGGAUUUCGAUCCGAGGUCGGAUCUUUCACAAGGGGGGCGGGGAGAUGAUGCGGAGCAUCCCUUGGUCAUCCCCAUGGACCUACCAUCGCCUCACCAAGCCUCAAGAGGACCCAUGACUAGAGCAUGUGCUAGAGCUCUCGAAACCGAGGCGACUUCUCUCCUAAAUGAUAUCUCAUAUGAUCCUCUCGAGACAUGGCUACUACCUAAGUCCGAUAUACUAUGCAUGAUUAGGUGUCAAGAAGAACCUCCCGAGGAUGCACAUGAAGACGGACAAGCUGCCCACUCCAGGGAUGAAGAGAACCAGAUGAAACAGACAAGUUCAUCUUCUAGGCCCCGGACAUCCGGCCCAAGCCCCGGACAUCCGGCCCCUGGAGCAUCGCCAUCAGCAUCAGCCAAGCCGGCCAAGUCUACAGGGCCCGGACAUCCGGCGUCCAGCCCGGACAUCCGGCCUCCGCCCGGAAAUUCGGCCAAACCCUUGGAAAUCUGGCGCCACGCACCAGGAACUACAGAAACUAUCACCUCCAGUCCGGACAUCCGGCAACUUGGCCCGGACAUCCGGCGCCUCCGGAAGCCCCGGACAUCCGACCCGACGCCCGGACAUCCGGCUCCGCCUGCGUGUGAACAGUGAAGGGCCGAAGCCCAUGUACCUCUUCGCCCCCUAGACUAUAUAUACUCCUUCCCCUUCCUCUUUCUAGGUUUAGCAUUGGAUUAGCUCAUUUUGUGUGAGAGCCUUUGCUCAUCCACUUGGAUACUUCUCCUUGGAGUUCACGGCCUCUUCGGAGAAGAUCCCCAAGCGGAUUCAAGAGCCCUUUCUAGGGAAGAACAUCAAGGCCUCCUCUCGAAGAAGAACGGUUUCGUUGUAUCCUUUCCUUUGUUGAUCGUGAACCUUGUGCUACCUUAUGUGUGUGAUGAUCUAGCACUCGUGUGAUUGAUUCUAUGUCGGUUUAGUGUUUCUCUCUCGUUUUCCCCGUGUUCUCCUUUGUGAUUUCCGCGCGUUCCUCGUGUUCUCCCGUAGGAUCCCCUCCAAACGUGAAAGAUCAAUGUUCUAGGGUUCCGCCCUAUAUCAGUUCAUCUCUUGCCACGGGGAAGGGGGUGCUUGGCAGGAGGUGUCGAGGCCAUGGUUCGAGCAGCCGCCGCCGGGAUUCCCACUGCCCUUGUAUGCCCGAAUCGAGGGUCCUGAAGGCGCUGGCGCCGAGCGGCAUCACUAGAGGCACCGUCGCUGCCGGCGGAUCACGGCGGUGCGCAUCGUUCCUCCAGGAGUUCACGCCGAGGGCUCUUCUCGCGAGCUCGUGCUUCACGCCGCCAUGCCUCCUUGGACCUAGAUUCGCCUCCCUCCUUCCUUCACCUUCAAGAUCCCACCAAGGGGGCCUAUCGAGCUUUGGCUACAGCAUGCUGACUGCAGUACCCCUGCGACCGAAGCGGAGGUCGAGGUCGUCGCUCCGGGCAGGGUCUACCUGACCCGUGGCUGGGGCGAGAUCGCCCGGGUCUGCAGGACGGGUGGCGCCCUCGCAAUCCACCUCGAGUACGACGACGCCUCCCUAAUGUUAUUCAAGNNNNNNNNNNNNNNNNNNNNNNNNNNNNNNNNNNNNNNNNNNNNNNNNNNNNNNNNNNNNNNNNNNNNNNNNNNNNNNNNNNNNNNNNNNNNNNNNNNNNGGCCGAUUCUGGCCCGUUUCGUGGACUAUUACUGACCGUUUUGGGGUCCCGAAGCGAUUUUCUUGGUUUAUGGACCCCAAGGUGCGCUUACGUGCAUGACAUUAACACUCGCCAUUUUGGCCGAUUCUGGCCCAUUUCGUGGACUAUUAGUCACCGUUUUGGGAUCCCAGAGCGACUUUUAUGGUUGCUGAACCCCAAGGUGCGCUUAUGUAUCGUUCAUCAGCACUCACCUCUUUGAUGAUUCUGACCCGUUUCAUAGACUAGUACUCACCGUUUUGGGUUAAGGAGCAAAUUCCAUGGUUACUGAACCCCGAGGUGCGCUUACGUGCAGGUCAUUAACACUCGCUGUUUUGGCCGAUUCUGGCCCGUUUCGUGGACUACUACUCACCAAUUUGGGGUCCCAGAGCGAUUUUUAUGGUUGCCAAAGCCCAAGGUGUGCUUAUGUGUCGUUCAUCAACAAUCGCCAUUUUGGCCGAUUCUGGCCCGUUUCAUGGGCUAUUACUCAUUGAUUUGGGGUUUCGGAGCGAUUUUAUGGUUACUGAACCCUAAUGUGUGCUUACGUGUAGGUCAUUUACACUCACAAUUUUCGCUGAUUCUGGCCCGUUUCGUGGACUAUUAAUCACCAUUUUGGGGUCCCGAAGCGAUUUUAAUGGUUGCUAAACCCCAAGAAGCGCUUACGUGUCAUUCAUCAACACUCUCCGUUUUGCCCGAUUCUGUCCCGUUUCAUGGGCUGUUACUCACCAUUUUGGUGUCCCUGUGCGAUUUCCUUGCUUGUUGAACUACAAGGUCCUAUUACGUGCUUACGUGCAGGUCAUUGACACUCGCCGUUUUGGCUAAUUUGUCCCGUCUCAUGGGCUAUUGCUCACCUUUUUGAGGUCCUGGAGCGAUUUCCACGAUUAAUGAUCCCCGAGGUGCGUUUACGUGUAGGUCAUCAACACUUGCAGUUUUGGCCGAUUUUGGCGCAUUUCGUGGACUAUUACUCACCAUUUUGAGGUCUUGGAUCGAUUUCCACGAUUGAUGAACCUCGGGGUGCAUUUACCUAUCGGUCCUCAACACUCGCAGGUUUGGCCGAUUCUGGCCCGUUUCGUGGACUAUUACUGACCGUUUUGGUGUCCCGAAGCGAUUUUCUUGGUUUAUGGACCCCAAGGUGCGCUUACGUGCAUGACAUUAACACUCGCCAUUUUGGCCGAUUCUGGCCCAUUUCGUGGACUAUUAGUCACCGUUUUGGGAUCCCAGAGCGACUUUUAUGGUUGCUGAACCCCAAGGUGCGCUUAUGUAUCGUUCAUCAGCACUCACCUCUUUGAUGAUUCUGACCCGUUUCAUAGACUAGUACUCACCGUUUUGGGUUAAGGAGCAAAUUCCAUGGUUACUGAACCCCGAGGUGCGCUUACGUGCAGGUCAUUAACACUCGCUGUUUUGGCCGAUUCUGGCCCGUUUCGUGGACUACUACUCACCAAUUUGGGGUCCCAGAGCGAUUUUUAUGGUUGCCGAAGCCCAAGGUGUGAUUACGUGUCGUUCAUCAACAAUCGCCAUUUUGGCCGAUUCUGGCCCGUUUCAUGGGCUAUUACUCAUUGAUUUGGGGUUUCGGAGCGAUUUUAUGGUUAUUGAACCCUAAUGUGUGCUUACGUGUAGGUCAUUAACACUCACAAUUUUCGCUGAUUCUGGCCCGUUUCGUGGACUAUUAAUCACCAUUUUGGGGUCCCGAAGCGAUUUUAAUGGUUGCUGAACCCCAAGAAGCGCUUACGUGUCAUUCAUCAACACUCUCCAUUUUGCCCGAUUCUGUCCCGUUUCAUGGGCUAUUACUCACCAUUUUCGUGUCCCUGUGCGAUUUCCUUGCUUGUUGAACUACAAGGUCCUAUUACGUGCUUACGUGCAGGUCAUCGACACUCGCCGUUUUGGCUAAUUCGUCCCGUCUCAUGGGCUAUUGCUCACCUUUUUGAGGUCCUGGAGCGAUUUCCACGAUUAAUGAUCCCCGAGGUGCGUUUACGUGUAGGUCAUCAACACUUGCAGUUUUGGCCGAUUUUGGCGCAUUUCAUGGACUAUUACUCACCAUUUUGAGGUCUUGGAGCGAUUUCCACGAUUGAUGAAACUCGGGGUGCAUUUACCUAUCGGUCAUCAACACUCGCAAGUUUGGCCGAUUCUGGCCCGUUUCGUGGACUAUUACUGACCGUUUUGGGGUCCCGAAGCGAUUUUCUUGGUUUAUGGACCCCAAGGUGCGCUUGCGUGCAUGACAUUAACACUCGCCAUUUUGGCCGAUUCUGGCCCAUUUCGUGGACUAUUAGUCACCGUUUUGGGAUCCCAGAGCGACUUUUAUGGUUGCUGAACCCCAAGGUGCGCUUAUGUAUCGUUCAUCAGCACUCACCUCUUUGAUGAUUCUGACCCGUUUCAUAGACUAGUACUCACCGUUUUGGGGUAAGGAGCAAAUUCCAUGGUUUCUGAACCCCGAGGUGCGCUUACGUGCAGGUCAUUAACACUCGCUGUUUUGGCCGAUUCUGGCCCGUUUCGUGGACUACUACUCACCAAUUUGGGGUCCCAGAGCGAUUUUUAUGGUUUCCAAAGCCCAAGGUGUGCUUAUGUGUCGUUCAUCAACAAUCGCCAUUUUGGCCGAUUCUGGCCCGUUUCAUGGGCAACUCAUUGAUUUGGGGUUUCGGAGCGAUUUUAUGGUUACUGAACCCUAAUGUGUGCUUACGUGUAGGUCAUUUACACUCACAAUUUUCGCUGAUUCUGGCCCGUUUCGUGGACUAUUAAUCACCAUUUUGGGGUCCCGAAGCGAUUUUAAUGGUUGCUAAACCCCAAGAAGCGCUUACGUGUCAUUCAUCAACACUCUCCGUUUUGCCCGAUUCUGUCCCGUUUCAUGGGCUGUUACUCACCAUUUUGGUGUCCCUGUGCGAUUUCCUUGCUUGUUGAACUACAAGGUCCUAUUACGUGCUUACGUGCAGGUCAUUGACACUCGCCGUUUUGGCUAAUUCGUCCCGUCUCAUGGGCUAUUGCUCACCUUUUUGAGGUCCUGGAGCGAUUUCCACGAUUAAUGAUCCCCGAGGUGCGUUUACGUGUAGGUCAUCAACACUUGCAGUUUUGGCCGAUUUUGGCGCAUUUCGUGGACUAUUACUCACCAUUUUGAGGUCUUGGANNNNNNNNNNNNNNNNNNNNNNNNNNNNNNNNNNNNNNNNNNNNNNNNNNNNNNNNNNNNNNNNNNNNNNNNNNNNNNNNNNNNNNNNNNNNNNNNNNNNUGCAGCACUCCCGAGAAAUGGAGCCCGACCACUCCGAUCCACGGAGGCGGAGGCGGAGGUGGAGGCGGUCUUGGCGGUAGCGCUGCCUCUAGCAGUGACGACCUGGGCUUCGGCGGUCUUGGUGGUGACGACCUCCGCGGUGCUCGACGUCCUGGCGCUUAAGCCUUUCGGCUACUUGUGUGCUUAUGCUUAUGUUUCUUUAGAUGACUUGUGUGUGGUGAUGAUCCUUUAGAUGACUUGUGUGCUUCUCUAUAUGCUUAUGCUUAUGAUUGUGAUGAUGCUUAUGCAUAUAUUGUUGUGAUGGUGCCGGAUGAUAUCCUGAUGUGUUCUGUAUGUCUAUUUCCAUCAUAUAUAUAUCUGCUGAUAUGUGUUGUAUAUUUGAAUUGAAUCGAUUUGAAAACAAACAGAAAAAACAAAAAAACAAAUGCAAACUAUGCCGACGGCUAGGCCGUCGGCAUAGGGCUGGCAUGAGCUACCAGUUGCUGACAUGUGGCAUCUAUGUCGACGGCCUAGCCGUCGGCAUAGUUUUUCAACUAAGCCGACCGCUAGGCCAUCGGCAUAGAUGCCACGUGUCAGCACCUUGUAGCUCUUGAGGAAGGGAUAUGCCGAUGACCUAGCCGUCGACAUAAGUUGACACUAUGCCGCCGGCUAGGCCGUCGGCAUAUCCCUGGCCCAUGAGUAACAGCUGGACCCCACGGGGCAUACCUAUGCCGACGGCCUAACCGUCGGCAUAGUUUGAAACUAAGCCGUCAGAAUAGGUGUGCCAUGUGGCGACCAGACAUUGGUCACACUUGACGGCGGCCGUCGUUAGGCGUGAAUGUUGCCGACGGCCAGGGCCGUCGGCAUAGAUAUACGGCCCCCGUUGGGAAAGCUACUAUGCCGACGGCCUUUCUAUGCCGACGGCCUCCCGGGCUACGCCGACUUAUAUGUUGCCGACGGCCCUAUGCCAACGGGGGCCGUCGGCAUAGGUAUGUCCCGACGGGAUUCAUGGAUAUGCCGACGGCCCUGGCCAUCGGCAUAGGGGGCGAUUCUGGUAGUGAUGCAGACCAACUUUUUCUACAGUUUACUCUUGCAAUACUUAGUAUGAGGUAGGGAUUAUCCUAGGCUGGACACGUCGGUAGCCCUUCAAUGUCCCAUGCGACCUGUUUCAAUCGUUGCUCCAUAGCAGGUUCUCCCUGAUUCCUCCAUUCCCAGUCAUACCCUACUAUGUUGCUUCUCAGUUGUUCGAUUAUCCUAUGAGCCACAUGGUGGUAACAGUUUUAAGGUUGAUUAGCGCAAACCACAAUAAAACAGACCAUUACUCUAUAUGUGGGCAUAGGUUUAUACAUUUUUUACUUAUCCUGACCUUUCUCAGCCUUUUAAAUAAGGUUUUGCAUUUGGAUAUAUAGUUUUGCAUAUGUGUGUGCUAUUAUACAAUUUUCUUUGUCUGGAAGCUACUUUUUGGUGUAAUUUUAUCUAUGUUUGUUUGCAGUUAACAAGAUUCAGUUAAACUGCCCAGCAUCCAACAUUUCACGUGUUCAACUUGCACAUCGUUUUCAACAUGCUUAUUUGGGUAUUAAUUUAACAGUUAUUAUUGUUAUACUUAUGCAGCUAUGUAAUCAAGUUCGGAGUCGGUUGUACUUGUUGUUUGUUCUGAAUGCAGAUGAAUGUGUUACCAAUUAUCAAUAAGAUUGAUGUUUGAUCUUUUGUUCCAAUUAGCAGCAAACAAAAUUAUCAGCAUUGUUAAUGACAGUAGCUGCAUAGCAAGGUUUUUAAAAGUUUAGCUGCCAAUAGUUGGAUGCUACUGUCCUAUUUGAACAUGAUCACAAGAGUAUGACGUGAUACAUGCACACACUUGGAUGAGCAUAGUUUUACAAUAAUCAGCUAGCGUAUUUUGUAGCAUCAAUUGUACCAUCUGUAAAUUUCAAGAAUUACCUGUACCAUCUGUAAAUUUCAAGAAUUACCUAUAUGAAAUCUACAAUAUUAUUGUAUGAAAUCUAUGGUAUUAUUAAUUCAAAUUGUCAUCUUUGUUAUGUAUAUCUUGCUAUGAAAAUCCAUGAAAAAAUCAUGCAACAACACAGGUAUAAUCAUCUAGUUUCUGUAGUUAUUCACCCUGCUAAAUUGUCAUUUGGUCAUUAGGUGUGGUCUUUUGUUUCGGAGCACCAACAUUCACUUGUCUAGGUAUGUGGAAACAUGUUAUAUUUGUAAGAACAAGUAAUACAUAUUGCCAUGAGAUUGUUCUACGACCAAGUGAAUUUCUUGAUGCGUGUUUGUAUACAUGACAUUAUUCUAUAAAUUUGGUCGAACUUUAUGAAAUUUGACUUCAGACAUAUCUUAUAGGCGGAGUAAUAAGUAACCGGGUGAAUAUGUUUUAUGUGGAGUUGAACUUCCUCUAUGAUUUGACCAAACUCCGCCACCAUGCCCCCAACUCAUCUUUGGAGACGUAUCAUGUUCUUGUUUCGAUGAUUCUAUGGUUUUAUUUGAAGAUUUUUUGCCAUAGAAAAGUUGGAAUACAGUAGAUAUAAUGCAAACAUAAAAUAUGAAUGGGUUUGCAACAGUACUUAUAGUAGUGAUUUGCUUUCUUGUACUAACGAAUCUCACGAAGGUUUUGUUGAGUUUUGUGUGAUGAAGUUUUCAAGUUUUGGGUGAUCUUACGAUGGAUGAAGGAAUAAGGAUUAGCAAAAGGCUAAGCUUGGGGAUGCCCGAGGCACCCCAAGAUAAUAUUCAAGAAGUAGCAAGCAACUAAGCUUGGGGAUGCCCCCGAGUGGCAUCCCUUCUUUCACCUCGCCAACCAUUUGUUGACCACAGCCCCACCACAUUCUACUUCAAGGCCCAUGAUUACCUCAAUCUAGUUUCGGUCUUAUUAAAUGGCCUUUUACCUAGAGAUUGUCGUUUAUCAACCCGGUAAGGCAUCAUAUCGAUACUAGGGUUUCUCCUUAUUCCCAAGAAUUACAAAACUACUCAGACAUGGGGAAACAACGCAUCAUAGAGGUAAUCAUAAUAGCGAGUGAAUGAUUAAAGUGACACACGUACGGAUCUACAAUAGGUUUUUGGAUUAUAAUGAGAUGGAUGAGAGAGUCGAUGGCGAUGGCGAUGGCGUGGAUGUUGAUGGAGAUGGUGAAUCUCGAUGUCUUAGCCAGCUUGAGCAAAGNNNNNNNNNNNNNNNNNNNNNNNNNNNNNNNNNNNNNNNNNNNNNNNNNNNNNNNNNNNNNNNNNNNNNNNNNNNNNNNNNNNNNNNNNNNNNNNNNNNNGAAGAGUGACUUGGGGCCUUGGUCCUUUGCGAAGCCUGCGUAACGCUGGCGACGCCUGUGGAGAUGGAGUUGGCUGGGCCUCAAAGUCAUCGUCAUCUUGCACUGGUGGGGUGACUUGUUGUUGGGGAGUACUCAGGGUGUCUUGUUGUUGUGGGUGAUCAGCUCAUGAUGCAUCCUGAGCAAUUGGCGUCAGAGGACAACCAAUGCUGAUAAGCUCACUGUUCGUUAGAACAGGCGAUGAUACCGUUGGGUGCUCAAUCUGAAGAAGAACUACAUCAUCUUCAACAUUGUCAUGGUGACCAAUGUCUUCAGCUACGGUGGGGUCAACAGCUGGAAUAUCUUCAACUUCAGGAACCUCUGUGGAAGCAGGCUCAUGAACUAUCAUGCGUCGUUCUUGGUGAGAAGAGUCAGGACGAGCAACCGAGAUUGGCUCGACAACAAGGGGCUCUGUGGGAGCAGCCCGAUCUUUCUUGGUUUUGCGCUUCUUCUUGGAGGGUGCAUCAUCAGAGGCUUCAGGAUUUUUCCUUUUUCUGGCUUCAGCCUCGGCAGCCCUCGUCUUCUUCAGUUCUGAAGCGGUUGACUUGACCUUUGGCUUCGAGCCGGACAUGCUGCUUGGGAAGACAAUGCGAGGCUCUUCCCGCCUUGAAUGUUUAGAUUGGUCAACCGAUGGCUUCUUCUUCUUGGCAGCCAUCCUGGGGUCGAUGCCAGGACGCCCAAGAGCCUUGCGCUUUUCAGCUUCAUUGUAGGCUUGCACACAUUUGGCAGUUGAAAGCUUCAUGCGCUCACGAGAUCCUUGGGCUUCAUCACGUUUCGUGCGAAAGGCUUCCCUGAGCUCAUGUAGCAUGAUCUUGAAGUUCUGCACAUCCUUCACACUGAGCUUGUCCAUAUGCUUCUUGAACUGAGCUUUUUCAAAAUCUAUCUUGUGCUUCAGCUCAACACUUUUCUGAGCAAGAGCUAACUCAGAAGCAAUUGCGCCUUGGAAGGAGACGCUGAGGCCAAUUGGAAGUUGUAGAUCGUCAAAACUGAGUUCUUGAUUUUCAAACCAGUCAUCAAUGAACUUGUUCAGAAUCUCAACAUCGAAGAGGGGAAGAUCAUUGAAGAUUUCAGCCUGCUGCUUGCUCUUAAUCAGCAUCUCAAGAGCGUCAUUGGUAAGAUCGUCGUCACUUGACAGAUCAAUUGCUUCAUUUUCGUUUCGUAAAAUGGCAGCAGGAGUCAGAGCAAGACUGGAGGAGUGCAUGGGCUUCUUCUUUUUCUUCGUCUCGAUCUUGGAGACACGAGAGAGAUCUUCAGACUGCACACUUGGUGCAGGUGGUGCAGUGGCCAGAGGCUUCACAAGUGAAGCUUUUGGAUCAGCAGCUGAUUUUGAAGCUUUAGCCUUCUUUUGCUUCUGUGGCUUUGGAGUAGGAGCAGGGGCUUCAUCAGUGUCGGCAUCAUCAUCAGAAUGAUCCACUUUGGCACCUUGAAUGGAAAUGUGAGUGAUGAGGCCAUCAAGGUUGUAGAAGGGUCCGAUGAUAUUGGGUUCAGCAUCGCGUGUGCCGUCGGCCCGGGGAGCAGAAGGACCAGGGUUGAAGUCUAGCCCCAAUGACUUCUUAUUUUCCUUGGCCGAUGCCUUUGCGUGCUGGAAGUUGCGCUUGAAGAGUUUAUCGUCACGACACCAGAGCAGUGAUGAUUGGUCGGCAUUGUCAGGCUGUGGUCCAUGGACCAUACAUGGAUAGAAACCCUGGGCAAUAGCUUCCGCUCUGUUCUUGGGUGGAAGGAUUCGAAAGAGAAUAUCACCCCAAGGACUCUUGAUGGCAUUCUUCUCAACAUACUCCUGGGUCACGAACUUGUAUUUAAACCAUUGUUCGGCCCAAUAUCUUCGAAUCCAUUGGAUUCGUGUCUUGCGCUGAUUGUAAUCCUCUUCUAGAUCUGUCUUGUACAACUCUGAGAGGUCAUCAGGCAAAUCUCUUGAUGUUCCCCCACGACGCUGUCUGCCACCCUUCCUUGCUGAUUUCUCUGUAGCCAUGAAGUUUAGACUAAAAGGCUUCAACACUGUCAAAGGCUUCAAAGGCUUCCGCUUGCUGGUCAGAUAGGAACUGGCUUCAGGAGAGUUAAUGUGAUGCUGUAAGAAUUUUGCAAACGAAUGCAGACUAUGAGAACCAAGGGAUUCUCCCAUGGACAUGUACCUGUGACAGCAUUAGAGACGCGAGGGAAGGGGAGAGGUCAUAUGCAUUCUUAGAAGAUUUUGAAGAUAAAUCAGUUUGAAGACAUUGACCUCAUGAUGCGAAGACAUUCACUUAUGUGUUUGAAUUUGGUUCCAGAUGUGUACGAAUCCAGGAAUAGGUACAAGUGAGGAAUCUAACUAGUUUAGAUGCAUAAGUGAAGAUGCUUGGCACAGUAUGAGAUGUAGAACUAGACAGAUCCAAGUUUGAAGUCACAGAAACCACUUUUGGUAAAAAGGAUGAAUCUAUAGGAUCAAAAAGAUGGUAAAAAGAGGGUUUUAUUUACCACACGAAGAACUGCUAGAUGGGAAGAGUAGGAGACCGAGCAGUUCAAUCCACCGUGCCCUAACUUGGCGACAGAGGACACCUAUGGCGGCGGCGGAGAGGACGAUGCCCGCGGCUGGCGUGAGGACGGCGUCGGUGAGGUCGCGGCAGCUAAGCGCUUCGUCGUCGGCGUCGUCGAAAGCUAGCGAUGGCGCUAGGGUUUUGACGAGGUGGAGAGGUGGAAGAAGGUUUUCUUGACCGUAAGGGGACAUGUAUUUAUAAGGAAGGAUGCGGCACAACGCAAUUACGCAGGUGCCCCUAGCGAUUCACAUCUGAGGAACACGUGGCUAGCAUGCAACAUACUUGGAGUUGUCCCACGUUCCCACGCCCGCCUGAACUGUCGGAUGGUCGUUCCGGCUUCUCCGGAUUUUAGGCAAUAAGGAUAGAGCAUUUAAAACAGACUCUGUAUCUUCUGCUGACAAGGACGCAGAGAAGACAUUUGACAGUUUCAACAGAAUGCAUAUGAUUUGGACAGAUAGAGUUUGAGAUAGAAAGCAUAGAUAAAUUAGGGUCCAAUCACAUUCACUUAGUUCAAAAGAUUCAACAGAAAAGACAUAGCUACAAGUGAAUGCUGUAGAGGACAGAAUACUUAUAUAUAUAUAUAUNNNNNNNNNNNNNNNNNNNNNNNNNNNNNNNNNNNNNNNNNNNNNNNNNNNNNNNNNNNNNNNNNNNNNNNNNNNNNNNNNNNNNNNNNNNNNNNNNNNNUCCGGUUGGAUGUCGUAAUUUGCGGUCGCCGGUCGGUCUGCGGGCGGCUCGGGCGGCGUUGUGGGACAAAAAAACACAGCUCGUGCGAGCUCGUCUCCAACAUGCGCGCUGGAGGAUGCAUGAUAGCAUGAGCACCCGAGCCAUUCCUCAUUCAUUGGUGGCAAAGGCAUCGGUGGACAAAAGGGUCGCCAAUAUUUUGGCUACCCUUGGCAAGAUCCAAACAGCCCCUCCCAACAGAUUCAAAUCCCUCGUUCGCCAUGGAAUUUUGCCAUGUGUUGUUUUCAUGGACUAGCAAGAUGCCCGUGCAUUGCACGGAACAUCAAGAUACAUUUUUUUACAAACUCCUGCAUGCAUGCAAGGGAUAAUUAAUGUCCUCCUUUGCUAGUACCACGAGGCAAACACCAUUAAUAUUGCAUCAAUUAGUGUUAGUGGCCUUGUAUAUCUGCAAAUUGUAAUUUUGAUAGUGGCCCUUGUAUAUAAAAAUGGAGGGAGAAAGAUGAGAGAUAAGGUGAGGAGGAGUGGGGCGUGGUGGUGACUGGUGGUCGGACUGGGCGGAGGCAUGGGGAUGGACGAUGCAUUAUGUCUAGAUUUGUAUCUCUCUCACACACACUACGUAGGUGGGGGACGUGCACGAAGAGAAGAGGUGCACGCACGACGCACGUACUCCUGUCUCUUUCCCAACCACACCCGUGGGUACACGGUGGAGCUCAUUUCUGUACGAAAAAGGCAGCCCACGUGGUAAUUUGUCACGUGUACUGGUUGUCCACUUGGUGGAGGGAGGAUCGUCUACCACAGGUGAACAAACAAAUUGCGACUUGACGUGUUAUGUUAAAAAAAGAGACAAACCAUGUGGGGCCUACCUUAGAGGCAAGGCUCUAUACACUGGAGUACUUUUGAUGUGUCCCGUCAACUCGCAGAAUGAGGAGAAGCUUACUUAGUAUGCCGUCUCCCCCACCCACGGGCGUGGUGGCUCACAGGAUGAGGCGAAGCUUGCUUACGAGUAGUAGUAGUAGUACUCCUACUACUGUAGGCCUUACGCCCGCUCCCUCGCCCACGCGCGGGGUGGCUCGCAACACGAGGAGAAAAUUUUACUCCCUCCGUCUAGGUGAGUAAGUCAUCUUACGUUGUGCACCGUGACCAAGGAGGAGGAGAAAAUGAGAGAACUUAAUGUUCAUUUGCUAAUUAAUAGCAUUGCAUGCAAUGAACUAACCACUGCAUGUCGUGUUUGGUAGUCUCAAGCCAUUAAAAGCAUGCACACCCCACAUCUCUUAUUGGUUGAUAUGUCAAGAAACAAGAACGAGGUAGAAUUUAAUGCACCGCGCCUAAGUGUUUUUGGAUUAUUUGGUUUUCGUAAGACGACCACACACCUAGACGGAGGGAGUACUACUCCCUCCGUUUACUCCUCGUCCCUACUACGUACCUUGGUUAGUACUCCCUCCAUUUACUUAUACAAGGCCACUAUAAAAAAUACAUUUUGCAUCUAUACAAGGCCACAAAUAGUAAUUGAGACAAAAGUUACUACUCCCUCCUUUCCAGUUUAUGGCUCAAUUUCAAAAUCUCUCCAACCAAGGUAGACGGUGAGUGGUCGGAUUAAUUUCAUAGUUUGCAUAAGUAAUUAGUACGCUCAUUUUUCUCAAGAAGUUAUGUUUACCAAGGCAUUAAUUAGAACAAAUGCAUUAAUGACCACUAAAUUUCCAUGAACUUGUACAUGCAUUGGUUAGUUUCCUCUUGACACUGCUUGUGUCGGGUGAUCUAACGCACCUCAAAAUCCAACAUGUAAUGGUACUACUACUAGUAUAGUAGAAUUGAGACUUAUCAAACGGAAAAACGGAUGUUUUUUAGAUGAGCCCUAUAAACCCUAGUGGGUACGUACUCUGUAAAAACAGAUUUUUUCCUAAACUAAGUCACUCCCUUUCAUGAAUUCUGUAGUAUACUCCUCCGUCGACGCUCCCUUUCAUGAAUUAUGUACUUCCUGUCGCCGACAUGUGGGACAUAUAGCAACUGGGUCGACGUGUCAAGCACCAAAUAACAGUGCAGAACAGCAGGGGGGACGUACCCCACUCGUACCGGCCCAGUAGUAGUAAUGAGCAAUGAGACAUCAAAUCACAAUGCCACACCUUCCCAGACGGACGAAGCAACCAUUAUUUCACACUUCGGUUCGCCAUCAUCUCAAACCACGUAGUAUUGCUUCUGCCUCAAGAGGGACACGCGCAUCGCCUUGGUACAUCAUGACACGUGGGACCGCAUGACAGGCCAUGCUCCCCCACCGAUCGCUCGGUAAAAUCACCUCAUUUUUACUAUACUUCCUCCGUAUCGGUUUACUACAUGGCAUGCACGUCGUUCUAGGUUGAGAAUUUAACUGGCUAUAUAUGUGAUGAACAGUACUCCAGCCUUUUAAAAAUUGUAUACUUUUGUACAGCAGUACUAUCGAUGGAUUGCGCCGUGGAGCAAAAAUUGAAAUUAAAAAAAGGUGGUACAUAUAGAGAGCGCUCGUCGCCAAAUUAUGCAUAUAGUACUAUUAAAAAAGCUAGUACGUGCUUAAUUGGGGUGCUAAAUUAUAUUAAAGAAAUACUAGUAGUAUGUAUCAUACUGAGGAGUUAAAGUAACAAGAAGAAACAUAACAUAGUUCUGCUGGGGCUCAGCACAACACACCCCUCAAAUUCAACUAAGCACACCUAAAAUUAAACUAUGCAACUAAUCUGAUAGACACUGCAUUAGAACCACCAUGAGCAAUGAUACUGACACCUUACUCACUCGGAGGAGUCCUCGUCCACGUCCUCGACUUCGUCCUUGUCCCUCUUCCUCUUGGCCGAUACUUCUUUGCUUGAACCGCACACUUGUCUCUUGCUCUUCAUCCAACCCUUGUAGAUAUUGAAACAAAGGUAGCCAUCCAUUGCAGUGUAGUGGAUGUGGUCUAUAUCUAGUACAUUCCGCUGCCAUGCAUAACGAUGAAAUGUGUAUGGAGGUUUCUCCAGUUUACCUUAUGAAGGAUGAACCAUGGCUCCUGCCAGGGUCAGCAUUGAAGGCUGACGAGAGGAUACCAGCCAAUUCUUCUGGAGGUCGAAGGUGUUGCCUACAACGAGGCCUAUCCGAACCAGGACUUCUUUGUUGUUACCAAAGUCUACAGUAANNNNNNNNNNNNNNNNNNNNNNNNNNNNNNNNNNNNNNNNNNNNNNNNNNNNNNNNNNNNNNNNNNNNNNNNNNNNNNNNNNNNNNNNNNNNNNNNNNNNCCAUUGAUAGCCUAUCAAUGCUGCUGGAUUCUGUCAAGAUCAUAUAUAUCAGAAUGUAUAGUUUUGAUCUGGACAUAAUUAUUGUCUUGCUGCGAUGCUUUCGAUCUCUGGAGAAUUUAUACAUAGAGGUGAUGAUUUCAUGCACAUUGAAAGCCCGUAUAUAUUGUACUAGAAUUAACUAUUCAGCUGUCGUUCUUUCGACAUACUCUUUUUUCAGACCUUAACUGUUCGCAAUCUUCAUGUCUACUUAGGCAGAACCACAUGGAGAAAAACAUAUAACCAAUCGUUGGCAUAAUAAGCACAAGGAUUUUCUUAGUUCUCAUGACAUUCGUUUGAGGACAAUAACGAUGGGAUGAUAUGCAUCCAACCAGGCAAACAGAAGCUUUGUCACAUUCUUCCUAUUGAACGCGAGGUUACUAUUGUCCAUGAGGCUUAAUUUUUACAGCAAGAGAUUUCUCAUGGACGAACAUGUUGAAUAGCAAAAAAAAAGUUUCAAGUGGACAAAUGGGCUUCUGAACGUGCUCGGCUUCUAUUUACAAUAAGUUGUAGACAUCCUGAAAUAAAUUGUUUUGCACAGGAUGUUGAUUUUAUGGAUCAUGCCAAUCCAUUUGUUUGUGACUGCAAAAAAGAGUGGUUGGGUUAGAUGUUACUGUAAUGUUCAAUCUGGGUUUUGUCUAAAAAUUUGAUGAACAAUUAAUCCUUGGGCUUUUUGUACCAUUUGUAUGCUUGACUUGCAUGUUGUUGCCCUCGUACUCCCCUCCACCUGCCACUACAUUGUCGCAUCUUCCAUGGCUGCUGUUCGUUCCCGUCCGAGGCCUUGCUGUCGUUCUCCGCCUUGGUUAGCUCGCUAUGCCCACCGCCGUCUGGCAUUUUCAACAUGGUCAACAACCAAGAGGAGUCAGGAGAUGACUGUACGUGGAGAGGCUGACAGUAGGGACCCACCAGGGUCAUUGCAUUUCGCAAGCAGGUGCCUUGUUAUUACAAGCCAAAAAAACACUUCCUCCUAAUUGUUUGACAACUAGGUUCCACGCCAUUGUCAAUGUAGUCAAUAAAUGAGAAAAUUACACAACGAGCGGAUAACACCAGGGACACAGCAGCUUGCCCAGUUGUUUUUCAGUUUCAGAGACGGAGCUCAACUGCGCGCUGUGUGGGGGUUGUGGCCCGUCUAGCACACGCUUACGAUUUUAUUAAGCACAUGACGAGCCCAGUUGAUAUAUUUUUUCUUUCUGAAAUUGGCUAGCCAAGUUCUUUUUUUCGGAGAAUUCCAAAACCGAGGCCUACUUGCUUUUCCCAGCCCUGCUGGGCUGCAAAUCUUUCAAGACGAGGAGGGAUGUAAGUAGUAAGAAAUGGGCUUCCCCAAAAAAACGGGCUAUAAGUUGUAAGAAAUGGGCUAUAAAUUUUUAAACCAAAGCCAACCGGCAAUUGCAUUAAAAUAUCAUUUUUUUAGGAUUUCUCUACUCUCUACUCUUAUAAAAACCAAAGCCAACUGGCAAUUACAUUAAAAUAUCAUCUUUUCUCCCAGAAGAUAAACUACUCAUACAAAAGCAUCUUCAUGUUCUGUGCAACAAACGGGCAUCUUGCUAGUUAAGAUUCUAAAUUUCAUUCAUUUUUUUUGCGGAGAAUUGUUUUUUGAAUUUUAUUUUCAUAUAAUUUUUUGAAAAUUAUUUUUAACCUGACUCAAAAUUUCGUGAUUAAAAGAGUUCGGACCCCACCGAAAUAUGCAAAAUUUCAUUGAAUUUUUUAGCAGUGCCCAGAAUAUAUGGUCUGUAAUGCUAAUAAAAAUAACAUGGGCUUCAAAUAUCCUUAAGAAUUAGCAAAUGGGCUGUAAAUUAUUGAAAAUAAUGGCUAAUGUGAUGUAUGCUAUUUUCUACAGAUUUGGAGGCUGACUUCUGGGCCUACUAGGUUGACAAUGACGUUGUCCUAAAAAAAAUUUGACGCGUAUGCAAGGCUUUGUCAACUUAGUCAACACACAGCAGUGACUGUUGGAUGUCCAUCCAAUAGCCGCCGUGCUUCUUCAAUCUCUGAUCUUCUUGCUCCAGCCGCCCAAACAAGCGCUGGUGGGACUGCCUGCUCCCUCCUCCUAUGGCUCGCUGUGCUGCCGCCAGGCUAUCCCUCUAACCACCCACACAUCCUGUUAUUUUCCGGCGACGUCAGCCUCACCCCAUAGCCGACCAGUCAGCGCUCGUUCUCCCCUCAGCUUGGUCAUCCGCUGCGGUGGCUUUGCCGUCUCUGGGUGGUUCUCUUCCUGGGCCUCACCCUCGUCCAUCGCGUUUGUGCUCUCGGCACGGAGAGGUCAACAUGGUCAACAAACAACAACCAUCGGAAGAGGCUAACAGUAGGGGCCCACACUGGAAAAUGCCUCCUUAUUACGCGCAAAAUAAUGAUUCCUCCACCUGAUAGCUGGGACCCAUUGGAAGGGUCUCUGUAUUUCGUGAAAAAAACGUUCCCCCCGCUGUCAGCUCGGACCCACCGGAAAUGCCUCCUUAUUAUGCACAAAAAAAUGAAUACUCCCCCAGCUAGCUGGGACUCACCUUGGUGGGAGGCUGACUUUUGGGCCUACUAAGUUUACGGGGACGGAGGGCUUUGUCAACUUAGUCAAUAUGAACGAUUCUAGCUCCAGUGACCGUACAAUGCCCAUCCAACGGCCGUAGUGCUUCUUCAACCUCUGGUCUUCGUGCUCCAGCCGCCCAAAGCAGCGCCGGUCGUGCCGCAUGCUCCCGCCUCCCGUGGCCGGCUAUGAUGCCGCAGAGGCCUCACCUUCCCCUACUACUCCCACCGCUGGCCAGGCCAUCCCUCUACUCACCCACACCCCCUGUUAUUCUGCGGAGACGGCAGCCUCACACCGCAGCCGAACCAGUGAACCCUCGUACUCCUCUUUCGCGUGGGCAUCCACUGCUGCGUCUUCCCCGGCUCUGCGUCAUCCCCUUCCUAGGCCUCAUCGUCGUCCACCGCCGUGGUGCUCUCAGCGCGGCGUGGUCAAUGUGGUCAAUGACCGACUUCCAUCAGAAGAGUACUGUGCGUGGAGAGGCUAACAGCUGGGUCCACGGCGGCCACAAGGAAGUGCCUCCUUAUUACGCUCAAAAUAAUUAUUCCCCCACCUGACAGCUGGGACCCACCAGAUGGGCCACCNNNNNNNNNNNNNNNNNNNNNNNNNNNNNNNNNNNNNNNNNNNNNNNNNNNNNNNNNNNNNNNNNNNNNNNNNNNNNNNNNNNNNNNNNNNNNNNNNNNNUGCAAUAGUUAUAACAUAGGGUGACACAGAACUAGCUCCAGUUCAUCAAUGCAAUAUAGGCAUGUAUUCCGAAUAUAGUCAUACGUGCUUAUGGAAAAGAACUUGCAUGACAUCUUUUGUCCUACCCUCCCGUGGCAGCGGGGUCCUAUUGGAAACUAAGGGAUAUUAAGGCCUCCUUUUAAUAGAGUAUCGGACCAAAGCAUUAACACUUAGUGAAUACAUGAACUCCUCAAACUACGGUCAUCACCGAGAGUGGUCCCGAUUAUUGUCACUUCGGGGUUGUUGGAUCAUAACACAUAAUAGGUGACUAUGGACUUGCAAGAUAGGAUCAAGAACUCACAUAUAUUCAUGAAAACAUAAUAGGUUCAGAUCUGAAAUCAUGGCACUCGGGCCCUAGUGACAAGCAUUAAGCAUAGCAAAGUCAUAGCAACAUCAAUCUUAGAACAUAAUGGAUACUAGGGAUCAAACCCUAACAAAACUAACUCGAUUACAUGGUAAAUCUCAUCCAAACCAUCACCGUCCAGCAAGCCUACGAUGAAAUUACUCACCCACGAUGGUGAGCAUCAUGAAAUUGGUGAUGGAGGAUGAUUGAUGAUGACAACGGCGACGGAUCCCCCUCUCCAAAGCCCCGAACGGACUCUAGAUCAGCCCUCCCAAGAGAGUUUAGGGCUUGGCGGCGGCUCCAUAUCGUAAAACGUGAUGAAUCCUUCUCUCUAUUUUUUUCCACGAACAUGAAUAUAUGGAGUUGGAGUUGAGGUCGGUGGAGCACCAGGGGGCCCACGAGGCAAGGGGGCGCGCCCAAGGGGGUAGGACGCGCCCCCCACCCUCGUGGACAAGAUGUGGGCCCCCUGGCCUUGAUUCUUUCGCCAGUAUUUUUUAUUAAUUCCAAAAAGUUGCUUCGUGGAUUUUCAGGUCAUUACGAGAACUUUUAUUUCUGCACAAAAAUAACACCAUGGCAGUUCUGCAGAAAACAGCAUCAGUCCGGGUUAGUUCCAUUCAAAUCAUGCAAGUUAGAGUCCAAAACAAGGGAAAAGUGUUUGGAAAAGUAGAUACGAUGGAGACGUAUCAGAAACCCCUACACCAUCGGCGACCGAGGAAGGGAUGGAUUCGACAUGCUCGGGGAAAUGCCUGAAAGGUAGAAAAUUUCCUCUUUUCAUUUUAUUGUUUGCAUUUUCUUAGUAUAUUGAUGCAUUGUUUGAUAUUGAUUGGUUGGUUUUUCCUUUACUUUUAUAGUGAGCAAUUGAACGUUGAUGCCCAAGCAUUCAUGCAUGAAUUGAAUUGAAGCCACACACUUAGGCUCAGUGACCAUAUAACCAAACGAGAGAGGAGAUGAUGGAUGAGGGCUAUGAGGUCGAGGAGAUCGAUGAGAGUCAAGUAAAGAAGAUUAGCGGGACGGGUAACUACAAGAUCGAUGAAGACAAAGCUUUGUGUUAAGCUUGGCUCUACGUCUCUCUCGAUGCCACGGUAGCUGGCGACCAAACAAACUAAAGAUUUUAGACUCUCAUCGAGGAUCACUACAACAACAUUGUUCCCAUCCCCUCUAGCCACGCAAUCGGUUCUCUUAGUCAUCAUUGGGGUAACAACAAAGAGCAAUGCGACCAGUGGGCUGGCGGUGUGGACUAACUAAACUUGCAGCCGCCAAUUGGAGUGCCCAUCUACCAAUACAAGAAAGCAUUGCAAGCUCCUUACAAAGAAAGGAACAAUAAAAACGUGGAAAAUAGUUUCCUUUGCAUAAUUGCUACAACGAGCUUGAUGGGGAUGAGAAGUGGAUAAGAAGGAACUUUGAAAUCACACCAAAGAGACAAAUGGCUAAACAAUGGUGAACAAGAAUACUUCGCAAGGAACCCAUCUACUCCUCAUGUGCUUCCGAAUGGAGGAAAAAUGCAAGGCAAGUCAGGAGGAACAGUGGUAUUGUUGCUUACAAGGAAGAGUUGAUUGCAGUGGUGGGUAUGAAAAGGAUUUGGCAGCCGAACGCAAAGAGAAGAAGCUGGAUUGUUUUUAUGAGAUGAAGUCCGUGGAGGAGAUGUGGAAGGCAAAGUCCGUGGCUGAGGAUAGAACGGUGCUUGCGUAGGAGAAAAGGCUUGAGAUUGAGAUGAAAAGGCUCGAAUUGGAGGCGAUGGAGAAAAAUAAAUUGCUUCACAUUGAGGAGCAAAAGGUAGCAAUGGCGGCUGAGGAGAGAAGGGAGAAGAGGGUAACCGAGGACUAUUCUAUCAUGUUCAUGGAUCGUAACAAUAUGGACGAGAAGGUGAGAAGAUAUUGGGAGCUUACUCGUGUCCAUAUCAUGGCUAAGAUGUUUGGUGGCGAUGGUGCAGGCAGUGGCAGUGGUGGUGCAGAUGGCGAAGGCGGUGGUUCAUGAGCCUAUUUGAACUAUGAUGGCAUUUGAUCCACCGCGUGUUGGUGGCUUUUGGAAUGAACUUGCUCAUUCUGUGCCUUUUGGCAAAAAUUGUGGCUACAUGUGAUAGAUUUGAUUAACUAUAUUUAUGGUCGUAGUUGAAGUGUGAUGUGAUGCAUUCAAAAAAAUACUAUAUUUCUGUUGAAAUGAGGUCAGUUUGUUAGAAUGAUUUGAGCAAUAGAUUUCAUGAUUUGUGAACAAAAUUUAUAGGAUAUGGGAUCUGCUAGCUGGGAAAUGGUGAUUUUCCUACAAAAAAAUGGGAAAGUGGGAUACAGAGCACUUUUAGCAGAUUUAGCGAGGGGGUCUGAUAGAGAUUCCCUAAGCUUUGUUGAGCUAGAAGCGGGGCCGCACUGUUUAUAGCUCUUGAGGACUUUGCUAACUUCACAUCUGAGUAGAGAUAAUAAGAUGAGAACUUCAUUUUUCAAAGCUUGUAAAAAUCAGUUUGCUAUGUGAUGUAGAAGUAAUAACCAUAUCGCUUAACUCUAUACCGCUAUUUUUCCUGUGAUAUAAAAAAGCACUAUCUUAGGGCCUUUUGGAUCCUCGUCGGCUUCUCUAAACUCCACAGGUUAAACUUCUUGGUGUGGCUUCUUGCUCCACGCAGCGAUUCCAUCACCGUUCGAGAGUGACUCCAGGUUCUCCCAGCAUUGCAGCCCAGCUAGGUGGUUGGUGGUUUGUGGGCGUUAGAUUGGGUAACCUAGAGGCAGCCCAGUUCGGGCCAACCACUACAGAGGGGGGCUNNNNNNNNNNNNNNNNNNNNNNNNNNNNNNNNNNNNNNNNNNNNNNNNNNNNNNNNNNNNNNNNNNNNNNNNNNNNNNNNNNNNNNNNNNNNNNNNNNNNAAUUCAAAUUUCACUUGAAUUAAAACAUGAUGCUCACAUGAGGGUCUAGCCUAGUGCAUAACAGGACCAGGGAUGUGACAACUCACCCCCACUAAACAAAAAUCUCGUCCCGAGAUUUAAGACGUGAGGUAAAGAGUCAGAGGGGUCACAAGCUAACACGAUCUCCACAAUCCAACUGUCCUUCUCAAGAUGUUGAUUUACUGACUCAAAUUGAUCUUGAUGUCUUGCCUUCGAAAUCUUCAUCCAACAUGACGAUGACAGAGGGAAACUCUACGGAAUCGAUCUUCUCAAAGAUCGAACAACUCGGGAUCAACUCACGGAAUAAAACAUAGUAACAUCUCUCGAGCUGAGACACGAAGCACACAUCUAGAGGAAUGGAGUGAAGCAGAUGACGAAGGUUCACUAGGUAGACAACAAUUCCACACCUAAGAAGGUGGUAAACGAUUGCCAACGUUGCGAGGAGUUGAGUUGCCAUGAUACCAUAAUGAUGCACCUUAGGGAAGGUGACUCGUAGAAUCAUCCCCUUAAGUGGCAAAAAGAAUUACCUUUGAUUCAGAGAUCAUUGAAACUCUUUAUACCAGCCUAAGGCAAUUCUCGAGCGAUCGUUUGGUGGAGUGCAAAGGAAUGGCAUAUCCAGACUAGAAUGGAUGAUGUGGAUUACCUUGUUGAGGACAACGUAAUGGAUGAAUUUGCUUACCACCGGAAAUGGAAGAGACCCAUGGUAGAAUGGCACAUUGGCGGUGCAAGCUGGGAACAAAAUGCAAAUGCUGGGAAUGAUUCUGGUAACUAGGGAAGAACCCAACAAUAGAGAGUGAAUUCACUGUUUGAAAAGGUCAUAGCAUUGCCGAGGAAACUAAGAGCACUAUACAGUUAAUGCCGACGAUCAAACCUAGCACUUGCGCAUGCUCUCAAGAACUUGAGCAUUUCCAUAAUCAUCAAGAUUUUACCAAUAUCCGUGUCAAGGAUCCUGGCAACACAUCAUACUACCAUGAUGAAUACCGGUGGAAGAUGUAGAUGCAAAGGAAGAUAACACUUUCUCAGAUUUCACCUUAACGAGGCCAAGGGGACGAAAUCUGGAUGAUCGACCGAGAGACAUUUAGCACUCCACUUCUAAUGUUCUCCUUGAUGUGCUAGCGUAAUCCACCCAUAGAUAUGGUUUGAUAUCUAGAACAUCAAGUAAAAAGGUCGGACUUCGGAACAUAGAAAUCCAUAGGGGCAACUAGGGAGUAAAUCCUACGAAAUCCCUAUGGGGAGGUGGCCAACUUCUCCAAUCAAGAUACUACAAUAUUAGGUCUCCCGGCGGGGUGUGUUGGCCACGACAUCCACUUUACCGGUUUCCAAGGGACCGAUAUUAUAGUUCUUGGGAAAUGUUCCAAACCAUCAUAUCUGCCUGAGAUUCAGAUCUGGUUAGUGUUAGGAUAUUCCAGACUCAUCGAGUCUAGGAAGAAAAACGAAAGUUUGCAACACAAAUCGACGAGAUGAUGUUGCGAGAUUCUCGGGGAAUGAACUACGAUAGUAAGCUCCAAAACAUGAGCUGGUUCUGAUACAAACAUGUGAACACAUUGUCCUAGACAAGCAUGGCCACGUAGUAGUCUUAUAAUUAAACACUACCGAGUUCAGGUGGGGAACCAUCAUCGAGGAUAUCGAAGUCUUUACACAAGUCCAUGGAUUAGAUCCCAAGCAUAGACUUCUUUUCCUUGAACAAGUCAAUCAGUGGCUUAGUGUGCUAGGGACACAUAUAGAAUGAAGGUUGCAAGCCUCCAGACUACAGAAUACUUCGCACGUGUGCAUGACUGAUUUGGGAUGAUUCCAAAGGAAACAAAACAAUCUUCCUCGAAUUCAUGGCGGCAACUUACAUCAGAUGCACAUGAAUUAGAGGAAGUCACUACUUUCAUCCAAACAUAGGCUUCAUGAACGGAGCACGAAGACAUUGCUUACAAAAUUUUCAACACUAGGUUGAUGUUCAACAUGAUUCAUGGGGGGAUACAGAAUGCUACUGAUGGGCUCAACAGCAACUCAUCGGAAUUUCCAUAUCACUGGACUUCCACCAUCAUGUGAACACGGUGAUAGGAUUGGUCAGACCAAAGAUGUAAUGGUGUAUGCUCGAGGGAUCAACCACGAGUAAGACAACAUUACGAGCAUCGUUGGUACUGAUUUGAUUUGACGAUAGCCCACACUCAAAUCAAAGGAUUGAUAAGACAAUAGGUCCAGCAACUGAUCACAGGGACCAAUCGAUGAAGAUAUCAUCUUUCUUCAACACACACUACACAAGAAUAUCCCUUUGGAAUGAACUAAGUCAGGCAAGCUUUUAUCUUCCAACUCUCCAAGUUGUUGUCUAGCUUAACCAACUGGCUCAGGGAUAUCUAACACCGAUCCUUGGAGAAUGGCUAGUUUACAAGAAACCAACUUGAUCACGAACUCAACAUAGCGGUCAGGCGACAACCUGGUGAUACUUUCGUGAAGAUAUUUGGAAAAUCACGAACCACCGAUAUGUUACUAAGCUCGAGAACAAUCUUGCUUUUUGAGGCAAGACGAUAUGAUCAAUAGAGCGAAGAUUUGAAAUAAUCCUAACUCAUCGAUCGAGGAGUGCACCGAGAACAAGGACUAGGUAGCACAAUCAGUCUUAGAAUGAUGAUUCAAUAACCAACACGCUAAGAGUGAAAGUUUUGUCCUUUAACUACCAAGCAAUAGUAUUGCUAGGAGUAUUGAUUUCACACACCACGAUUCACUUGUCGGCAUUCCGGUUACAAUAACACAAGAACCGAGGAAUGAACAAUGAUGGCAAGAAGUAUCACUGUACCAAGAGUUCAUAGGAUGGUGUGCAAUUCCUAUAACAAUCCCGAUAUAAAAGAUGGUAAUACUCCAAGGUAGAGCAGAACAAAAGCUGGAUUAGCAAUUUGUUCUGUGGAGCACAACUUCUUUGACCCAAUCCUAGAUAUGGAAGAGGUACUGGAGUUUGUUUCUCCUAGUCAUUCCGUGAUAGAAUGGCUUGACGGACCACAAGAGUAAUAGGCAUCGAUAAACGAAUGCAUGCAUACUCUUGACUAUCAAUUGAUAGACGAAGGUCAGUAGACAACUAAAGAGGGACAACUCAAAGGAACAUAUAACUUUCUGAGUUGUGGAUGCAUANNNNNNNNNNNNNNNNNNNNNNNNNNNNNNNNNNNNNNNNNNNNNNNNNNNNNNNNNNNNNNNNNNNNNNNNNNNNNNNNNNNNNNNNNNNNNNNNNNNNAUGCUUAAAUAAGCAAACAUGCAAUAAGUCAUUCAACACAGAAUCAUCACCAAGAUUAGAGGUCAUAUCAAAAUGAUUAAACAUUGGUUCUUUUGCAUCAAUAGUUAAUUCAAUGGGUGCACUCAAAAUUGUUGGUAUUUCAGUUGUUUGAUCACAUGGCAAAGUCAAAUUAUCAACGUAGUCCUCUAAAAUAGGUGGUGUGAUCAAAGUAGUGGGUAGCUCAUCAGAUGGUGCAUUCAAAUAGUGGGGGAGUAUGUACUCAGAGGAGUAUAUAUGCAUGUCAUUUUGCAUACAAGGAAAUUAGAUAGUAUGAGUUGGCUGAGGUAACAAGUAUGAGCAGUAUGUGGUUAAGUAGAAAUAAUAAGUUAAUAACCUUUUGCGUCUCCUUUAGGGAUGCCAAGCCCAAAUAAAGUAUAUCCAAAGUCAAUCCUAUGUUAAUCUCAAAUUAAAAUCACACUACAUUGAGCUUUAUGCUGCGUUUGGCACUGCGGUGGAUUAUUAUAAUCCCAUUUGCUCAAACCUGCCUUUGCCUAUUGUAGUGUUCGUUUGACUCGCUUUUGCUUACUUUGCUGCUAAUUUUCCACAACAGAUUAUAGAAUAGGCACAACAAAAUAAGUACGCAUGGGGAGCUUUUGUGGGCGCCUGCUUGCAUCCGUUGUUUUCCUUAGUUCAACUGGUUACUCAUGUAGAAUUCAGUUUUUUAUCUCGACUAACAAAUGGAAGGAUUGUGGCAUUCCCAGGUAUAGGCAGGUGGCAUACCUGAAACUCCAACGACAUGAUGAUGCCGUGUCAACUGUUGCAUAAAUCACCUCCAGAAAAUCUGAAUUUGAUGUAUUGGUUUUGAUGAAAGGGCAGUGGGCCUGAGGUAUUGCCUAGGAAGUCAAUUUAAUUUCCUGUUUCAUCUCUGUAAUUAAAAAAAAAAAUCCUUCCGAGACUUCUGUUUACUGGUAUAAAUAUUGGAUGUGGUAGUUUCCAUAGCAGGCCUAAUCCUGACAAAUACGACUCGUACAGCUAAGAGUUUGAUGCUGUUGCACGACUAUUAUAUUAAAAAUUGUAUGCCUGUUCGAUGCACUGACAUUGAUGUCUCGGUAAACAAACUGAUGCAAGAAGGCACACUGAGUUUUGUUAUCUUAGGAUGAGUUUGUUAUCUUAUGGCGUGUUUGGUUAUUGGCAUCAAAUUUGGCCGUUUUGCAUCAUGUUUUGCAUCAUGUUUUGUUGCAUGCAAUCGAUUGCUUGCAUCAGGGUAGCAACUUCCCCAUCGGUGUUUGGUUGCCUGCCUUUCAUGAUUUUUGGCUGGGCUGAUGCAGUAGGUUGUGUUUGGUAGCACACAUUUGGCCUGAUGUUGUGCGCUUACCGGCUACCAUCCUAAUCAGUGUUGUCAUAACAUCAAAACAACAAUAAUAAUAAACACACAAUCAUUGAUCACACGAUAACAUCAAG